GUAUCGAUUGUUGAGAUCUGGCGACUUGCUUAAAUUUCAUCAGCCUCACUUCUAUGGACUCUCAGAGCUGAUUACCAACUCCUACCACUGUUAACCCUCAUCCAGGAACAAGCUUAUGUCUUUAACAUUCUGAGUGGGCUUCAGCAUCCUUGCAUAUGUUCAAUUCUUAAAAACCUGUUGAAAUAAAAGAUCAGGAGACAUAGGAGGGAUGCCAGAAGACAGCGUGGCCUCACGUGUACCAGCUCUCUGCUCUCCUUUGCCUUGGGACGUUCCAUCCCUGGAAGUUUCCCUGCCCACAUCUUUGUAGAGAGUCCAUUCUCCAAGCUUCAGUGUGUCAUCUGUUAGGACUAUGACCCACCUGGUACAUUACCUCAGGGCAUUCAUUUCAGGCUCCUUCUAAGUGGUCAAGUUUUCAAGAUUGUUUUGGCUCUAGCAAAACAAGUUGGAACAUUCACAUCAUCCAUCUUCUGUCAGCCUAACAAGCAUAGCAAGAAGAUAUAGCCCCACAACCACUUUAUGCACAUAGUUAGAAGCAUAAAAUCUCAUGGAAAGAGACCGAUUAUCCACAGAAGAUGUUGUCUUGCCAUUUCUCUCAUGUUAGAGGUAAACCUCAGGUUCUCCUCCUGCCUUUUGCUAAGUAUAUGUCUUGAUGACAAGCCUUCUGCUAAUGAGCUGUGUUUCUGGACCGAUCAUGGUAGAAGUCAAUUGAAGUGUCCCUCACUUGGGGUUUCUUAAGG
This 737-nucleotide long non-coding RNA is filed under the name Pongo abelii (Sumatran orangutan). RNAcentral describes it as "lincRNA". Lineage: Eukaryota; Metazoa; Chordata; Mammalia; Primates; Hominidae. The record is from RNAcentral.